This 300-nucleotide unclassified non-coding RNA is filed under the name fungal sp. RNAcentral describes it as "partial contains small subunit ribosomal RNA and internal transcribed spacer 1". The record is from RNAcentral. Lineage: Eukaryota; Fungi.
AAGUCGUAACAAGGUUUUCCUUCCGGUUAAAAGCUGUAACCUGCUGAAGCCUGACAUGGCGACUAAAAAUAAUCAUGGAGUCUUACCGACGAGGGAGGACAAUACCGCUGAAUUGCUGUGAUCAACGAAUUGUUGUACCAGCAGCCCGUAACAGGGCCCACAGAUCAAGCCGCGGUGGUUUUACCUAGAAUAAUUAGGCAGAACUUCAAUAUGACCGGUCUCGCCUGUUGAGGGCAGAGAGUGAACGUUCCGUAGGUGAACCUGCGGAAGGAUCAUUACCGAGUUAGGGUCUUCCAGGCC